AUGCUCACGCGCUCGAACUACAACGAGUGGGCGUUGAUCAUGGAGUGCAACCUCCAUGCCGCGAGCCUCUGGGUGCCCAUGGAGGACGACCUGGUCGAGAGAAAGGAGGACAGGAAAGCCGUGGCGGCGCUUAUGCGCGCCACGCCGCCGGAGAUGCGCGGCAUGCUCACGGCGAAGGCAAGCGCCAAGGAGGCGCUUAUGCGCGCCACGCCGCCGGAGAUGCGCGGCAUGCUCGCGGCGAAGGCAAGCGCCAAGGAGGCAUGGGAAGCCAUCCGUACCCAGCGCCUCGGCAGCAACCGCGUGCGCGAGGCGAACGUGCAGAAGCUGCGGGCGGACUUCGAGAACAUCGCCUUCAAGGAGGGCGAGCACGUCGACGACUUCGCCAUGCGGAUCUCCAGCGUUGCGUCACAACUCCGAGCGCUCGGCGACACUAUGGACGACGCGAGAGUCGUGCGGAAAUUUCUCCGUGUCGUGCCACCUCGCUUCGCUCAGGUAGCGGUCUCCAUCGAGACCUUGCUUGACCUGAGUGAGCUCUCCAUAGAGGAGCUCACGAGCCGGUUGCGGGUGGUCGAGGAACGCCUUGAGGACGGCCGUGAGAGCUUCGGUGGAGAACAACUCCUGUUGUCGAAGAAGUGGGAGGCGAGGAAGCGUCAAGGACGUGGUGGAGGUGCGCCGAGCAGUGGAGGCGGCAUCGGCAGAGGCGGCGGUCGCACCCAGGGCGGAGCCGGACGAGGUGCCGGCAACGAUGACCGGGACAAGUGCCGAUAUUGCAGCAUCAAGGGCCACUGGGCCCGUGAGUGCCGCAGGAGGAUGGCUGACGAGGAUGCCGCAGCCGCGGCGAACCUCGUCCAGGCUGAAGAGGACGGUGGGCCAGCAAUGAUGAUGGCUUGCGUCGAGACCAUGCAGGAGGGCCCAGCGCCUCCGGAGACCAUGGUCUCGACAAGCAUCGAAGCCGUGCAGGAGGGUGCAGCACCUCCGGCGACCACGGUGCCGGCAACCGUUAAGUCCGUGCGGGAGGCACAGAGCUGUUCAACUGAUCCCGUCCCAACAUCGGUAGCGCUUUCCCUGACAACAGCGUUCUCGGGGGCCUACGAUUGGGAGGAGAUGAAGACCCGGGUGUGGGGGAGCCACACCCUGGCAACCACGUCCCUUGUGACGCCGUCAAGCCCGUGCAAGUUGGCACGGCAAUCGCGGCCCCGACAUCCUCGGGACCAAACAAGCCCGUGUCAGGAGGCACGACAACGACGCAUAUGGUGGGCCACGUCCCAACCAUGA
RNAcentral lists this ribosomal RNA (1275 nucleotides) under Triticum aestivum (bread wheat). RNAcentral describes it as "partial small subunit ribosomal RNA". The record is from RNAcentral. Lineage: Eukaryota; Viridiplantae; Streptophyta; Magnoliopsida; Poales; Poaceae.